GUAAGCUGAUAGCUAUAGACAGUCCGGGCAUGCUGGGAGUUGAAGUUUUGCAACAGCUGGAGGGCCACAGUUUGAGGAUGCAUGGUCUAGGAACUCUGUUUUCUGGUCGGACAGAAACAAGCAAGGCGUUCUGCAGCUAUUGGGACUACUCACAACAAUAUCUGGUAUAAAGCCCACCUGUUCUGCUGAUAUAAGCUCCGGAUAAAGCACAACAUCAGCUCCGCCGAGCCCCCGGCCAAAGUGUGGAAGUGGUGUCCGAGAUC
Bufo gargarizans (Asiatic toad) is the source of this 263-nucleotide long non-coding RNA. RefSeq lists it as uncharacterized. Lineage: Eukaryota; Metazoa; Chordata; Amphibia; Anura; Bufonidae. The record is from RefSeq and is a predicted model, not a curated record. The transcript is spliced from 3 exons.